GUCUAUGGCCAUACCACCCUGAACGUGCCUGAUCUCGUCUGAUCUCAGAAGCUUAGCAGGCUCAGGCCUGGUUAGUACUUGGAUGGAAGAAAGAUCUUCAGAAGAGACAGCUCAGAGACAAGCAGUUUGAAGACA
This 135-nucleotide ribosomal RNA is filed under the name Castor canadensis (American beaver). Lineage: Eukaryota; Metazoa; Chordata; Mammalia; Rodentia; Castoridae. The record is from RNAcentral.